ACUCCUCGGGAGGCAGCAGUGGGGAAUAUUGCACAAUGGGCGCAAGCCUGAUGCAGCCAUGCCGCGUGUAUGAAGAAGGCCUUCGGGUUGUAAAGUACUUUCAGCAGUGAGGAAGGUGGGUAUGUUAAUAGCAUAUUCAUUUGACGUUAGCUGCAGAAGAAGCACCGGCUAACUCCGUGCCAGCAGCCGCGGUAAUACGGAGGGUGCGAGCGUUAAUCGGAAUUACUGGGCGUAAAGCGCAUGCAGGUGGUUUGUUAAGUCAGAUGUGAAAGCCCGGGGCUCAACCUCGGAAUUGCAUUUGAAACUGGCAAACUAGAGUACUGUAGAGGGGGGUAGAAUUUCAGGUGUAGCGGUGAAAUGCGUAGAGAUCUGAAGGAAUACCGGUGCGAAGGCGGCCCCCUGGACAGAUACUGACACUCAGAUGCGAAAGCGUGGGGAGCAAACAGGAUUAGAACCCUGGUAGGCUCU
This 468-nucleotide ribosomal RNA is filed under the name uncultured bacterium. RNAcentral's name for it is "bacterial SSU rRNA". It matches the Rfam family "Bacterial small subunit ribosomal RNA", at positions 335 to 798 of the family's 1533-position model. The record is from RNAcentral.